This 622-nucleotide long non-coding RNA is filed under the name Citrus x clementina. RNAcentral's name for it is "Citrus clementina (C. clementina) long non-coding RNA (CCLE_LNC006518)". Lineage: Eukaryota; Viridiplantae; Streptophyta; Magnoliopsida; Sapindales; Rutaceae. The record is from RNAcentral.
AAAAUCACACGCGCUAGCAAAAGCAACCUAACAUAACGCUAAGUUACCAACAAUUUGCAAAGCCACCUAAAAGCAAAGUAACAUAAUGCAAGUCACCAACAAUUUGCAAACAAAAAACCCUAAGCUUCCCCAUCGUCACACGCACUAGCAACACCCAAUAUUGAUUCGAUACACUCUCAACACUAAUUUGAAGGACGUCGGCCGCGUGAUUUCGACUAGAGCAAGCCAUCUUCUUCCCCAAGUCCAUCGAGCCACUUCACAAUCACUGGUUCCAGUCGAACAAUUGCACUAUCACAACCUUUAAGAUCACCACCUGUAUGGCUUCUCCUGGUUCCCAUCAUUGACGGCUCCAUAAUCACCACUUUUCGACAGGCACAACAGCCCUGGUGAAGGAUCAGACUAGGGAUGGCAAUUGUACCCGCAAACCCGCCCAAACCCACCCGCCAAAACCCGCCCGUUGCGGGUAAUUUUACCCGUUGCGGGCGGGUUUAGUAUUAUAAAUUAAAACCCGCACAUGGAUGCGGGUGGGUUUGGUAUUAACCUUAUAUCCGGUGGAUACCCACAUGGAUAUCCACCAAACCCGCAAUAUUUUUUUCAAAUAUUUUUAAUUUAAUUUUAAUCU